Molecule: ribosomal RNA, 773 nt
Filed under: Streptococcus anginosus
Lineage: Bacteria; Bacillati; Bacillota; Bacilli; Lactobacillales; Streptococcaceae
Description: bacterial SSU rRNA
Rfam family: Bacterial small subunit ribosomal RNA
Source: RNAcentral
GACGAACGCUGGCGGCGUGCCUAAUACAUGCAAGUAGGACGCACAGUCUAUACCGUAGCUUGCUACACCAUAGACUGUGAGUUGCGAACGGGUGAGUAACGCGUAGGUAACCUGCCUAUUAGAGGGGGAUAACUAUUGGAAACGAUAGCUAAUACCGCAUAACAGUAUGUAACACAUGUUAGAUGCUUGAAAGAUGCAAUUGCAUCGCUAGUAGAUGGACCUGCGUUGUAUUAGCUAGUAGGUAGGGUAAUGGCCUACCUAGGCGACGAUACAUAGCCGACCUGAGAGGGUGAUCGGCCACACUGGGACUGAGACACGGCCCAGACUCCUACGGGAGGCAGCAGUAGGGAAUCUUCGGCAAUGGGGGGAACCCUGAUCGAGCAACGCCGCGUGAGUGAAGAAGGUUUUCGGAUCGUAAAGCUCUGUUGUUAAGGAAGAACGAGUGUGAGAAUGGAAAGUUCAUACUGUGACGGUACUUAACCAGAAAGGGACGGCUAACUACGUGCCAGCAGCCGCGGUAAUACGUAGGUCCCGAGCGUUGUCCGGAUUUAUUGGGCGUAAAGCGAGCGCAGGCGGUUAGAAAAGUCUGAAGUGAAAGGCAGUGGCUCAACCAUUGUAGGCUUUGGAAACUGUUUAACUUGAGUGCAGAAGGGGAGAGUGGAAUUCCAUGUGUAGCGGUGAAAUGCGUAGAUAUAUGGAGGAACACCGGUGGCGAAAGCGGCUCUCUGGUCUGUAACUGACGCUGAGGCUCGAAAGCGUGGGGAGCGAACAGG